This 486-nucleotide ribosomal RNA is filed under the name uncultured bacterium. RNAcentral's name for it is "bacterial SSU rRNA". It matches the Rfam family "Bacterial small subunit ribosomal RNA", at positions 28 to 511 of the family's 1533-position model. The record is from RNAcentral.
GAUGAACGCUAGCGGCAGGCUUAAUACAUGCAAGUCGUGGGGCAGCAUGAGUAGCAAUACUUGAUGGCGACCGGCAAACGGGUGAGGAACACGUACACAACCUUCCUUCAAGCGGGGAAUAGCCCAGAGAAAUUUGGAUUAAUACCCCAUAAUAUAUUUGAUAAGGCAUCUUAUUAAUAUUAAAGCUUCGGCACUUGAUGAUGGGUGUGCGGCUGAUUAGAUAGUUGGCGGGUAACGGCCCACCAAGUCUACGAUCAGUAGCUGAUGUGAGAGCAUGAUCAGCCACACGGGCACUGAGACACGGGCCCGACUCCUACGGGAGGCAGCAGUAAGGAUAUUGGACAAUGGACGAAAGUCUGAUCCAGCCAUGCCGCGUGAAGGAUUAAGGUCCUCUGGAUUGUAAACUUCUUUUAUAUGGGACGAAAAAGGGCAUUCUUGUUCACUUGACGGUACCAUAUGAAUAAGCACCGGCUAACUCCGUGCCAG